AUGGAAUCUUUCGGGGAGGAGCUUCUGCGUGCGAUCCUGGUGAAGCUGCCGACCAGGGACCUCGCCCGGUGCUCCUGCGUCUCCCGGCAAUGGCGCACCGUCGUCGGCGAGCCCUCCUUCCGCAGGCUCCACGCCAGCGCCACCCACGUCGUCUCCGGCCCACCGGAGACACUGGCCGUCACGGAGAUCCGCGGGAUGCGCAUACGCCUAGAGGCGGUGGUCCUCAACGUCGCGUCCAAAAAGACAAUGUGCCGCAUCACCGACCUCGCCGGGGGGUACGGCCCCACCAACGCCUGCAACGGUUUCCUGUGCUUCGCAGCCAACGCACAGGACUGGCAUGUGUGCGUCUGCAACCCUGUCACCGGAGAUAAGAUCAAGAUCGCGCCGCCGCCAGAGAACAAGGACGUCGGCUCGCGCAUGUAUGCCAUGGGGUUCAGCGCGUUAACCAAGCAGUACAAGCUGUUCCGACUCUCCUUCCACCACCGGGAUCACUCCGGCCACUACCUGGACGUGUACACUUUAGGCGGCCACGACGGGUGGCGCCGGAACCCACAUCUACUCCCAUGUCGCGCGAGGUACAACUGUGAGUUCCCGCCACCGGUGCUCAUCGAUGGCAAGUUGUACGUCUUAGGUGAACCGGCAGAGUAUCGCCAGGCGUCAGAUAAGAUAAUAGUGAUCGAUGUGGACAGCGAGACGCACUGCGUACAUCACCUUCCUGAGGAGUUUACCGGGGCGGUCAUUGCGGCGAUGCACGCCUUCAACCUGAGCGGGCAGCUAUGCAUCGCUAUGCGCCUUGCCGGCCAGCAGCGGCUACGCUUCUGGGUCAUGCCACCGCUGCUGGGAAUGAGCCUGUUUGGCGACUGGGAACUGCGCUACACCUUCGACAUGAGUGUCGACGAUGAUGGCAGGGAGGACAAAUCAAGGGGCGCCUGGUUUGAUGACGGUGACGGGAUGUUGUGUUACAGGCUACAUGACCAUCUCUACCAAUACGACACCACCAACAACAAGGAGGAGGUCGAUGGUUCCAUGCAAUGGGACCACGAUAUACAGUUGCCAGAGGUUCCACCGCAAGAGAAGCAACGAUGGAACGUCUACAGUGGUUACUGUCCCAGCCUCGUCUCGCCUCGUCUCGCAUUCGCCUCCCCCAUGACAUCACCGGGUCACAUCGAUGAACAAGAACUCUUCGAAAAGGCGUUGGUGCACGCUCUGCGACGCAAGAAAACAUUGAACUUGAAGAAACCAUUUCCUACAAAUGUUGGCCUGCCCGAUUGCACUGGUGACGACGUGUUGCCAAAAGGAUUUGCGAGCCAAAACAGUAAUCAAUCAACAUGA
RNAcentral lists this ribosomal RNA (1332 nucleotides) under Triticum aestivum (bread wheat). Its description in RNAcentral is "partial small subunit ribosomal RNA". Lineage: Eukaryota; Viridiplantae; Streptophyta; Magnoliopsida; Poales; Poaceae. The record is from RNAcentral.